Molecule: long non-coding RNA, 221 nt
Filed under: Carica papaya (papaya)
Lineage: Eukaryota; Viridiplantae; Streptophyta; Magnoliopsida; Brassicales; Caricaceae
Description: long non-coding RNA (CPAP_LNC006282)
Source: RNAcentral
GAUUCCUUAUCGAAACCUUGAUAUUUUCUCCUUCAUCGCUCUCCUUUCUUUCUCUUCUUAUCUUACUAGACUAUUAUAUAUCUCUCUCUCUAAAUCUUGAAAAAUGGAAUAAUGGAAGUGUGGAGAGGAAGGGAAGGGGAAUGAAAUUUAUAGAGUUUUGAAAUAAUCAAAUUCGUGCUAAGUGGCAAAAUUUGGUGAAGAGAGAGGAGAAAAAUAUUCUC